ACAACCACAUGUCUGCACACAUCCUCAGAAGAUAGAUAGACCCCACACAGCCACUCAGAAGGAGAAAGAAAAAUGUGGAUCUGCAUACGUAUCAUGUGCAUGAUCCUCGGAAUUCUACUUUUUCUAAUUUUUUUCCAUUUCCUAAAGAAGAUUUCCUUUCUUAUUGACUAUGAUUUGAAAUCAAAGAUUUGGGCUGGGAACAGAGAUUUUUAUCAAUACAAGUUGUUUUUGUUGUUUGAUGAAGAUUCUCAUGAAAAGAAACUUUACAAGUCAAUCAGUCAUACCGUUGUUGUCACCCUGCAACUGAAGCUUAAUUGAAAUACACAGUGUCACACACACACACACACACACACACACACACACACGUGCACGCAUAUUCA
RNAcentral lists this long non-coding RNA (380 nucleotides) under Rattus norvegicus (Norway rat). RNAcentral describes it as "long non-coding RNA NONRATT018458". The record is from RNAcentral. Lineage: Eukaryota; Metazoa; Chordata; Mammalia; Rodentia; Muridae.